RNAcentral lists this ribosomal RNA (440 nucleotides) under uncultured bacterium. Its description in RNAcentral is "partial 16S ribosomal RNA". It matches the Rfam family "Bacterial small subunit ribosomal RNA", at positions 338 to 795 of the family's 1533-position model. The record is from RNAcentral.
CCUACGGGUGGCAGCAGUAGGGAAUAUUGCUCAAUGGGGGAAACCCUGAAGCAGCAACGCCGCGUGGAGGAUGAAGGUUUUCGGAUUGUAAACUCCUUUUGUUAGAGAAGAUAAUGACGGUAUCUAACGAAUAAGCACCGGCCAACUCCGUGCCAGCAGCCGCGGUAAUACGGAGGGUGCAAGCGUUACUCGGAAUCACUGGGCGUAAAGAGCGCGUAGGCGGGAUAGCAAGUCAGAUGUGAAAUCCUAUGGCUUAACCAUAGAACUGCAUUUGAAACUGUUAUUCUAGAGUAUGGGAGAGGUAGGUGGAAUUCUUGGUGUAGGGGUAAAAUGCGUAGAGAUCAAGAGGAAUACUGAUUGCGAAGGCGACCUGCUAGAACAUAACUGACGCUGAUGCGCGAAAGCGUGGGGAGCAAACAGGAUUAGAUACCCCAGUAGUC